This is a long non-coding RNA of Arabidopsis thaliana (thale cress), 374 nucleotides long. RefSeq annotates it as other RNA. The transcript is spliced from 2 exons. Lineage: Eukaryota; Viridiplantae; Streptophyta; Magnoliopsida; Brassicales; Brassicaceae. The record is from RefSeq.
GUUCUCAGCUCUUCGGUUCCUUUUCUUUUGAUUAGUGAUUACAUAUUAACUCUGCUCUUAUGUUUAUAAUGCAAUGUCUUCCAUGGUAGAUCAUUCUACCGAGCUUUUCUUCUUACAAGUCAAAUCAGACCAAUUCUGCAAAAAGCUUAACCUCUGUCAAGAAGUGACGGCCCUUGCUUCAGACUGUCACCAAACUCAAGGAUCCUGAGACAAAGGAAACUCCGCAUAUCUCUCAAGGUAUCCAGUCGCUAAACAAUUACCAGGAAAAGGUAGCUAACUAUAGAAUGCCCGCAAAGCUCAAAGUGCCUCAAACAUAUUAAUGAUUUUCUUAGCUGCUUCGAUAACCCAUUUCUGCCAUCUCCUGUGGUACUUUU